RNAcentral lists this long non-coding RNA (1760 nucleotides) under Homo sapiens (human). RNAcentral's name for it is "non-protein coding lnc-FOXL2NB-10:2". Lineage: Eukaryota; Metazoa; Chordata; Mammalia; Primates; Hominidae. The record is from RNAcentral.
ACUGCCGAUUCCUCUACCGUUGCCAGCCCGGCUGCGACGCUGCUGCACGGCCUUUCCUAACUCUCUUUGCGACUCCCAGAGGACUGCGGAAUAGGGAAUCCCCGGCAAGUCGCCUUCAGGAGAGACCCAUCACCCGCUGCGGCCUCCAUAACCUCCUCCCGAGAGAUUCCGCUCUUCCUAGGUUCCUUGCUGGCCUUUUCUUCCCAGCCCUUCUCCCUGUUCUGCGACAUGGACUGACUCCUAAAUUCUUGGACGCAGCACUUAUUUUUUUCCCGAUACCCGUCUCCGUCUUUCACUCCCUUUGUGAGGAUAGGGCGCUAGCUCGGCUGCCUCACAGCUGGCCCUUCAGUCCCUACACUGUGAAUGGUUGUUUCUAGGGAAAAGUCCAGGCUUUCAAGCCCAAGAUUCUUGUUCUUUGUUCAAUUUUGCAGUAACAACACCUAACAUUUGUCUGCAGAGCCUUAAACUUUACCCCUUUUUGCCUACCUUGUUUCCUGUUACCUUUGACCCCAACCGCGAAAAAUCACAGUCCUCUUUCUAGUGGGACACUUAAAUUUUACUUACUGAAAACCAACAUUUUAACUCACUCCAAAGCUAGUAUAUUCUAACGUAAUGCUCCUAUAUUACCCUGGACAAAUAGUUGAGUAGUCAGGGAUAAAAUCUAGAAGUACAACAUAAUAAAAAGCAAACGUGACAAAUCAAUUAAGUGACAAACCAAUAGUUUAUUUGAGAAAUGAUCCUAGUUUUUUUAUUUUUUAUUUAUUUACUUAUUUUGAAUGAGAGUUUCGCUACUGUUGCCCAGGCUGGAGUGCAAUGGCGCGAUCUUGGCUCACCGCAACUCUGCGUCCCCCGGUCAAGCGAUUCUCCUGCCUCAGCCUUCCUGAGGAUUACAGGCAUGCGCCACCACGCCUGGCUAAUUUUGUAUUUUUAGUAGAGACGGGGUUUCUCCACGUUGGUCAGGCUGGUCUCGAACUCCCGACCUCAGGUGAUCAGCCCGCCUCGGCCUCCCAAAGGGCUGGGAUUACAGACAUGAGCCACCGUGCCCGGCCAAUGAUCCUGGUUUUAAUUGACUUUCGAUUUAAAGCAAGAACAUUGAAAAAUAAAUUCCAGAAGAGGCUGUAAUACCAACACUUUGGGAGGCCGAGGUGGGCAGAUCACUUGAGCCCAGGAGUUCACACCUAGCCUGGGCAAUAUGGCGAGACUGACAAAAAUGACGUGAGUGUGGUGAUGUGCAUCUGUUGUCCCAGCUACUUGGGAGACUGAGGUGGGAGGAUAAUAUGAACCCAGGAAGUCGAGGGAAGUCGAGGCUGGUGUGAGUCGAGAUAGCACGGUAGCACCACUGCACUCCAGCCCGGGAAAUAGAGCAAGACCCUGUCUAGGAAAAAAAAAAAAAAUCCAGAAGAAUUAAAAAAUAUAAAAAUUUACAAAACAGAAACUUAAGAGGAAAAAAAAAUUUUUUUUUGAGACAGUCUCAUUCUGUUGCCCAGGCUGGAGUGCAGUGGCACCAUCUCAGCUCAUGGCAACCUCCACCUCCCAGGUUCAAGCAGUUCUCUUGCCUCAACCUCCAGAGUAGCUGGGAUUACAGGCACCCGCCACCACACACGCCUAAUUUUUUUUUUCUUUUUUUGAGACGGAGUCUUGCUCUGUCGUCAGGCUGUAGUACAGUGGCACAAUCUCGGCUCACUGCAACCUCCGCCUCCUGAAUUCAAGGGAUUCCCCUGCCUCAGCCUCCCAAGUAGCUGGGACUGCAGGCGCGCACC